RNAcentral lists this ribosomal RNA (587 nucleotides) under Saccharomyces cerevisiae (brewer's yeast). RNAcentral's name for it is "eukaryotic LSU rRNA". It matches the Rfam family "Eukaryotic large subunit ribosomal RNA", at positions 55 to 657 of the family's 3401-position model. The record is from RNAcentral. Lineage: Eukaryota; Fungi; Ascomycota; Saccharomycetes; Saccharomycetales; Saccharomycetaceae.
GGAAAAGAAACCAACCGGGAUUGCCUUAGUAACGGCGAGUGAAGCGGCAAAAGCUCAAAUUUGAAAUCUGGUACCUUCGGUGCCCGAGUUGUAAUUUGGAGAGGGCAACUUUGGGGCCGUUCCUUGUCUAUGUUCCUUGGAACAGGACGUCAUAGAGGGUGAGAAUCCCGUGUGGCGAGGAGUGCGGUUCUUUGUAAAGUGCCUUCGAAGAGUCGAGUUGUUUGGGAAUGCAGCUCUAAGUGGGUGGUAAAUUCCAUCUAAAGCUAAAUAUUGGCGAGAGACCGAUAGCGAACAAGUACAGUGAUGGAAAGAUGAAAAGAACUUUGAAAAGAGAGUGAAAAAGUACGUGAAAUUGUUGAAAGGGAAGGGCAUUUGAUCAGACAUGGUGUUUUGUGCCCUCUGCUCCUUGUGGGUAGGGGAAUCUCGCAUUUCACUGGGCCAGCAUCAGUUUUGGUGGCAGGAUAAAUCCAUAGGAAUGUAGCUUGCCUCGGUAAGUAUUAUAGCCUGUGGGAAUACUGCCAGCUGGGACUGAGGACUGCGACGUAAGUCAAGGAUGCUGGAUAAUGGUUAUAUGCCGCCCGUCUUGA